Long non-coding RNA from Gadus macrocephalus (Pacific cod), 253 nucleotides. RefSeq lists it as uncharacterized. The record is from RefSeq and is a predicted model, not a curated record. The transcript is spliced from 3 exons. Lineage: Eukaryota; Metazoa; Chordata; Actinopteri; Gadiformes; Gadidae.
GCUCAACACCAGCCUUUGCAGUAUUUUGGCCAUUCAAAGAAGUGUGACAGCUGCCUAUCAUCCCCAAACCAAUGGGAAUGCAGAGGACUUCUGCGUGGUGUGCUCCUUUGCCGAAGAAAAUGCAGAUGAGAGCAUGAUUGAAAAGGUGCAGUGUGGAUUGUGCAGUCGGUGGGCACAUUUUGAGUGUGCCCAAUAUGCCCAUGAAAAUAAGGCUGUAUAUAUUUGCAAGAAAUGCCUUCAAAUAAAAUAAAGA